Panicum virgatum (switchgrass) is the source of this 706-nucleotide long non-coding RNA. RefSeq lists it as uncharacterized. Lineage: Eukaryota; Viridiplantae; Streptophyta; Magnoliopsida; Poales; Poaceae. The record is from RefSeq and is a predicted model, not a curated record. The transcript has 2 exons.
GGCCACUGGUCCGACCGGUGCUGCACGUCCGGCGCAGACUCCAUGUGUUGGCCAUCCUCGUUCCGUGCGCUGUGCACGACCUCAUCCGCGACCAAGCCGCUCGCCUCCUCUUCGCCCCUAUAGAACCUAGCCGACCCCAUUGCCUGCCAAACCCUAGCUCCCCAUUUCCCUCUCCACCUUUGGCGCCAGCCCGAGCUCCACCGCCGCCGUCGAUUCGUCGUCUCCGAUGAACUGUGGCUCGAUUCCUCGCGCAGGGAGUAUCUCCCCCUUCUCCUUGACCCGUUCCCCUCCUAAUCCGGCCCGUUCCCUCGCCGUGUAGGGCCGCCGACGAGCACCUCCACCCGUCGUCGUCCCUGCUCGCCGUGGCGCCUCCCUGUUGUGCCGUUCCUUCAUCUGCGCUUUGGAUCAGCCGAAAGUGGUGUUCGGCCACUUCUACCUCACCAACCUAGGUACGGGGGAGGAGUAGGUCGUUGAGGCUGGGAUGGUGUCAUUGAGCAAGACAUCAUUAUCUUGGUAUGUUUUUAUCAUAAUCGAACUCCGUGAGAGUAUGUAAAAUGCAAUAAACUUUAAGUUUAUGUUUAAUAUGGUUUUCGUGAGCCCAAGGCUUGUAACAGAAGUUAGUUUGAACCCACGUAUAUCGAACUUGUAAUAUUAAGUGUGUAAAAUUGCUCUUUGUGGAUCAUCGGCAAUGUACGUGAUUGUAUAA